UGCUGUUAAAAAGCUCGUAGUUGGAUCAAGAGUCGGACAGUGCACGGUGGCCCUGUUUGUCAUAGUGGUUCCGAUCACUGUGGCGGCAGCGGAUCAACCCCGUGCGCCAAACUGUCCGCUCUAACAGACCGAAGCGGUUCCCUGUGAGUAGGCUCCUUAAUUGGGGCUGAAAGCGCUUACGCAUCAACCAUAUGCAUACGGGACGUCGGUCAAUGUUACUGUGAACAAACCAGCGUGUCCAAAACAGGCUUUUGCCUGAAUGUUCGAGCAUGGAAUAACAAGGGAUCGAUUCUCUCGGUUCUUUUUGUUGGUUUUUAACCCGAGAAGGAGUAAUUCAGGCCACGGUGUCUGAGUUGGGUUUCCCUUCACCUCGGUGGAGGCCCCAAUUAGGCCGUGUCCUUACGGGAUAAAUAGGGACUGACGGGGUCGUACGUACUUCCACGUCAGAGGUGAAAUUCUUAGAUCGUGGGAAGACGAACUUCUGCGAAAGCAUUCGACAAGAAUGUCUUCAUUAAUCAAGAACGAGAGUGUGGGGAUCGAAGAUGAUCAGAUACCGUCGUAGUCCACUACUGUAAACAAUGCCGUCUCAGGAUUGAGAAGUGAACAGAAUGACUUUCACAGCACUAACCCCUGAAACGA
RNAcentral lists this ribosomal RNA (639 nucleotides) under uncultured marine eukaryote. Its description in RNAcentral is "bacterial SSU rRNA". It matches the Rfam family "Eukaryotic small subunit ribosomal RNA", at positions 614 to 1100 of the family's 1831-position model. The record is from RNAcentral.